Molecule: ribosomal RNA, 360 nt
Filed under: uncultured bacterium
Lineage: Bacteria
Description: bacterial SSU rRNA
Rfam family: Bacterial small subunit ribosomal RNA
Source: RNAcentral
AGCUCGUAGGCGGUUUGUCACGUCUGCUGUGAAAACCCGAGGCUCAACCUCGGGCUUGCAGUGGGUACGGGCAGACUAGAGUGCGGUAGGGGAGAUUGGAAUUCCUGGUGUAGCGGUGGAAUGCGCAGAUAUCAGGAGGAACACCGAUGGCGAAGGCAGAUCUCUGGGCCGUAACUGACGCUGAGGAGCGAAAGCAUGGGGAGCAAACAGGCUUAGAUACCCUGGUAGUCCAUGCCGUAAACGUUGGGAACUAGAUGUGGGGACCAUUCCACGGUCUCCGUGUCGUAGCUAACGCAUUAAGUUCCCCGCCUGGGGAGUACGGCCGCAAAGCUAAAACUCCGAGGAAUUGACGGGGGCCCG